AUGGGGUGACUGCGUACCUUUUGUAUAAUGGGUCAGCGACUUAUAUUCUGUAGCAAGGUUAACCGAAUAGGGGAGCCGAAGGGAAACCGAGUCUUAACUGGGCGUUAAGUUGCAGGGUAUAGACCCGAAACCCGGUGAUCUAGCCAUGGGCAGGUUGAAGGUUGGGUAACACUAACUGGAGGACCGAACCGACUAAUGUUGAAAAAUUAGCGGAUGACUUGUGGCUGGGGGUGAAAGGCCAAUCAAACCGGGAGAUAGCUGGUUCUCCCCGAAAGCUAUUUAGGUAGCGCCUCGUGAAUUCAUCUCCGGGGGUAGAGCACUGUUUCGGCAAGGGGGUCAUCCCGACUUACCAACCCGAUGCAAACUGCGAAUACCGGAGAAUGUUAUCACGGGAGACACACGGCGGGUGCUAACGUCCGUCGUGAAGAGGGAAACAACCCAGACCGCCAGCUAAGGUCCCAAAGUCAUGGUUAAGUGGGAAACGAUGUGGGAAGGCCCAGACAGCCAGGAUGUUGGCUUAGAAGCAGCCAUCAUUUAAAGAAAGCGUAAUAGCUCACUGGUCGAGUCGGCCUGCGCGGAAGAUGUAACGGGGCUAAACCAUGCACC
Molecule: ribosomal RNA, 606 nt
Filed under: Escherichia coli
Lineage: Bacteria; Pseudomonadati; Pseudomonadota; Gammaproteobacteria; Enterobacterales; Enterobacteriaceae
Description: partial 23S ribosomal RNA
Rfam family: Bacterial large subunit ribosomal RNA
Source: RNAcentral